This 520-nucleotide unclassified non-coding RNA is filed under the name uncultured Glomus. RNAcentral's name for it is "SSU rRNA". It matches the Rfam family "Eukaryotic small subunit ribosomal RNA", at positions 569 to 1091 of the family's 1831-position model. The record is from RNAcentral. Lineage: Eukaryota; Fungi; Glomeromycota; Glomeromycetes; Glomerales; Glomeraceae.
AGCAGCCGCGGUAAUUCCAGCUCCAAUAGCGUAUAUUAAAGUUGUUGCAGUUAAAAAGCUCGUAGUUGAAUUUCGGGAUCAAUAUGUUGGUCGUGCCUUGGUACGUACUGGCGUCAUUGGUUUCUACCUUCUGAAGAACCUCGAUGUCAUUAAUUUGGUGUCUUGGGGAAUCAGGACUGUUACUUUGAAAAAAUUAGAGUGUUUAAAGCAAGCUCACGCUUGAAUACAUUAGCAUGGAAUAAUGAAAUAGGACGUUUGAUUCUAUUUUGUUGGUUUCUAGGAUCGACGUAAUGAUUAAUAGGGAUAGUUGGGGGCAUUAGUAUUCAAUUGUCAGAGGUGAAAUUCUUGGAUUUAUUGAAGACUAACUACUGCGAAAGCAUUUGCCAAGGAUGUUUUCAUUAAUCAAGAACGAAAGUUAGGGGAUCGAAGACGAUCAGAUACCGUCGUAGUCUUAACCAUAAACUAUGCCGACUAGGGAUCGGAUGAUGUUAAUUUUUUAAUGACUCAUUCGGCGCCUUAC